CCUGCGAAUACUGGAUGAAGGCGUCUGCUACAAGGGAGGAGUUUAGAAAGAUUUGGAGAUGCUGGCUGGAGAAGUCCUAGAAGACUGUAAGAUGUGGGCAACUCUGUGCCCGGAUGAGGGGCUUGCUGCCUCUCACCCCAGUGGAUCUGCAGUGGUUGUGACCGACUCUACUGCUGCCCUCAACCUGGACAUCAUUCAGCACCCGGAAGCAACCCUGGGAGGGCCCAAACCUCGGGCCUAGACACUGCCUCUGCCCUUCCUCCGCUCUCAGGGACCACACACUCAGCUGGAUGAUGGCCUCCUGUUCUGCUCAUGUACUUGUUGCUGGCCUGGUUUCCCUUUGCCCCGACUCUGGACUCGGAUGCUGUUUGCCUCUUCCCAUCAAAGAGGCUCUGGGUACUGACCCACAGCUGAUGCCUUCCAGGCCCCCUCCAGACACCCUGUGCAGCUGGACCUCUAGUAAGCAGCUCUGCUCUGUGCUCCAGGCCCCAGGGUACUUGAUGCUUUCUUCACUGACCGUGGUUUUAGGCAGUGAGUGCCUUCAAGGCAGGAAUAAGUUCUCAACCUACUCUACAGCCCCUGCAGGCAGUGAGUCACAGGACUGCUCUGGUACUUGUCAGUCAGAUGCAUGAAGCCCCAGAUAUGCACAGCAGAGCACAAACUCUACUUCCUCUGCAUUCUUCCCUGUUGUACCUCCAAAGCUGUGCUGGUCAAACACUCAGUUUGAACAGAUUUGUUUUUCUUAAAUGAUCCUUCAUGCCAAAAAUACAUUUACCAAAUAAAUGUAUUAAUUUCUUUUGAAAUCACUUCAGUUGGAUACAACACUCUCAUUUAGCAGAUAUUUACACAAUUAUUGAGUGGUGGUAUUGUGACAGGCCUUUGUUAGAGAGUUCUUGCAUGGACAGAACCUCAAAUUCUACUAGGGAAAGAGAUGCUGAGCAUCUAACCAAAAAUAUGUUUGGUAAAUUCAUUUUCAUGAAAGUUACCAAAAUAAUCACCAUCAUAAUAAAAUAAUUGGC
Long non-coding RNA from Fukomys damarensis (Damara mole-rat), 1019 nucleotides. RefSeq lists it as uncharacterized. The record is from RefSeq and is a predicted model, not a curated record. Lineage: Eukaryota; Metazoa; Chordata; Mammalia; Rodentia; Bathyergidae. The transcript has 3 exons.